Molecule: long non-coding RNA, 1935 nt
Organism: Herpailurus yagouaroundi (jaguarundi)
Lineage: Eukaryota; Metazoa; Chordata; Mammalia; Carnivora; Felidae
Exons: 2
Source: RefSeq, a predicted model, not a curated record
AAGAAAAAAAAGGCAGUGACACUCAAUAUUUUAGGUCCGUGGAGUACUGGAAGCUUCCGCGAUGUACUCUAGGGUCAAAUCCCCUGACGGAAACCUCGUGACCAGGAGGAGGUUUUCCUCUUCUCUGGAGUUCCCCUCCUGUGGUCAGAACAAUGGGAUCUAGACAUCAGAAGUCAAAUGUUUGGUGUUGGCUGUGUUACCAGAUGAUCUUGGGUCAAUUUCUUUGCCCACAGGUAGCACAGUUCUUUGUGAAACUGAGCUUGCAGGGCAGCAUUUUUCAGAGUGAUCAUGACCCGUCUACAUUAGAAUCACGUGGGGUCCUCAAGCGUGAAUGGUACACGGUUCCAUCCAGCUGGGCUGCAUCAGAAUCACCGGGGCCCAGGAAUCUGCUUUAACAACAUCCCAAGAGAUUAUAGGUCACUAAAGCUUGUGAAUGGCUAUUGGAGGGAAUUGCUAAAAGGUUCUGUAUCGACAGCUCUAGGUUAUAGAUGAGGAAGCUAAGGUAUCAGGAGAUCUUUCCAAAGAUUCAAGAGCAAAUCCUCAGUGGAACUGAAGCUAAUUGAAUCAUUAUUAAUAGCUGGCAUUGGCCUAGAGCCUUAAGAAUAGGAAGGCCGACUCACCUACAUUACUGCACUGAUUGUGACAAUUCUAUGAGGGGGCACACUUUAUAGGUGAGGACACUGGGCUUCUGGACAAUACGUGAUGGGUGCAACAUCACGCAACAAGGGAGAAGCCAUCUCGGGGCUUGCGCUGGGACCUCCCGCCGUCACUGCAAGUACUUGUUCACUGCAGGCAGCAUCGUACCUUUCACUAUGCCAUGCGUACCAGUGGCCAUUCUCAAAGCUUUGUUCGCCAGUAAUCCCGAGUGCAUCUUCUUCUGAAGAUAGGAAAAUCGUGGUCCAUACAAGGAGUAGGACAGGCGACUGAUAUUCGCGAUGAGUAGAGCAUAGGGCAUGUUUGUGCCAUCAAAUCCUGUCGUCACAACUGAAUGUGUGACCCCAGGUGGAUUAAUUUCUCAAGCCUCAAUUUUCCAAUCUGUGAAAUGGGGAUAGUGACACCCACCUCAGGGUGCUGUUGAAAUGCUAUAGCAUGGAUGCUAUGAAAGACCAAAGGAGGAAGGAAAUUUACUUAAAUUCGUAGAAUUCUGGCUCCACCAUUCGCCAGGUAAGAAGCUUACCUACUUCAGAGGGUUUUGAAAGAAACCCUGUUAACCUGAGCAGCACGCAGAUUAGGGCCUGAGACCUCAUGAGUGUUCAGCAUUAUUGGCUAUUUUUAUAACCCAGUAGCACCAGAUCCUAAGAGAAUAAGUGGUGGGGAAUUCUGACUCAAUGUGAUAGUUCUAAACUUUCAGGGGGUUAUAACAUCCUUUAAAGACUGCCUAACUUUAUGAUCAUGUGCAUUUAAAAAUGCGAUAAAGCAUAAAAUUAUUCUCAAAAAUCAAAGCGAUUCUUUAUUUUGAAAAUUCCAUAUAGCCUGAGUCAUGGAAUGGCAUUGGAGCUCUUCUAGUUUUAAGGCCCUAAUCUCACUAGUGACUGAAAGGCAAGCAGGCAGGCAUCUAUUCUCCUCUAGGCGCUUUUUGUCUUGCUUUUUUAGAAUUCAAAUGAAAAUCAUUUACAUGCGAAUUCUUCUGUCACUGAGGACUUUGAACAAGAUUUUGUCUUUAGUUGUGACAUUUACCCAAGUAAAUACGAAAACCACACUGCCUCACACACGCACUCCAUUGGUUCAUCUCAAAAGAAUCCUUAUUUGACUUUCAGGUGAAGUGCAAGAGGUCAAGGAAUUACUGAUGUUGAUGGAUUAAUGACCAGUUAGGAGUUGUAAAAACAGAAAAAGGGAAGAACACUUCAAUGAGAUUUCUGCCCAUAAAAGCUCCCUGAAAGAGUGUAAAAAAGAAAUGGAGAUGGUGACGUGACUUAUUUUUAGAAGGGAACAGAG